UUCAAUAAGGAACAGAAAGAAAACAACACGUUCACCCUCAAAAGAAAAAGAAAAACAAUUUCAAGAAACUCUCUCAUACCAAUUGGAUCCCCAUUUAUGCAAAUCCUUCAAUUUCAUACCAAUUGGAUACCCAUUGACAUAGAUCUUUCAAUUUCUUGUAUGUCUCUUUGAUUUCUACCAUUUUGAUUUGCUUCCCCAUCUCUCAAUACCCUUCUGCCAUUUCUCCUCCUCCCAUAUCUCUAAUAUUCUUUUCCCAUUUUUUCAUCACUCAAAGCUUGUGUGAUGGCCUCAAACUUACCAAAGUAAAGAGAGAUUUGUAUGGCUGUGUGUUUCAUAGAGAAAGGGGAACAUGCAACUGGCUGAAAUCUGGGUGAUGUGAAGAAGAAGCAGUUGUGUUGUUUGUGUGAAUAUGGGUAGUUUGGUAAAUCAUCCUUUUAAAGUGAAACGUGAUUGUUGAAUUGCCGUGGAAGCUUCAAUUUGUGGCUUCUGAAAAACCCACGUUUGGGACCAAAAUCACUUUCUUGGGAUUUGAUUUUGCAAAACAUCCAAACAUAAAAAAAAUAAAAUUGAAACGGUGUUUUGCCUUCAAAACGUGGUUUGGGGCGUGAAAACGCUUGACCAAACAAGCACAUAGUUGAAGUCUGGAACUGUUUGUGCAUUGCCGUAUACAUGAGAGAAAAGUAGUGCAAGGACAAUAGGUUUUUUAAUCUAUGAAAUGGGCACUAUUUUAUUUUUUGACACA
RNAcentral lists this long non-coding RNA (742 nucleotides) under Medicago truncatula (barrel medic). Its description in RNAcentral is "long non-coding RNA (MTRU_LNC003744)". The record is from RNAcentral. Lineage: Eukaryota; Viridiplantae; Streptophyta; Magnoliopsida; Fabales; Fabaceae.